GUCCUUUUGAUUUUAUAGAAGGUCUGACCUGCCCAGUGAUUUAUUUUAACGGCCGCGGUAUAUUGACCGUGCAAAGGUAGCAUAAUCAUUAGUCUUUUAAAAGAGGGCUGGAAUGAAAGGUUUGACGAGGUAUUAACUGUCUCAUUUUAUUUGUAUUUAGAAUUUAACUUUUUAGUCAAAAGGCUUAAAUUUAAUUGGAAGACGAGAAGACCCUAUAGAGCUUUAUAAUAAUUAUUUUAGUUAUGAAUAUAUAAUUUUUAAUUAAAUAUUUUAUUAUUUUGUUGGGGUGACAGAAAAAUAAAACUAACUUUUUUAUUUAUUUUACAUUAAUUUAUGGUUAUCUGAUCCAUUAUUAUUGAUUAUUAGAUUAAGUUACCUUAGGGAUAACAGCGUAAUCCCCUCCCAGAGUUCAUAUUUACGAGUGGGGCUUGCGACCUCGAUGUUGGAUUAAGAUAAUAAUUAGGUGUAGCCGCUUAAUUUAUAGGUCUGUUCGACCUUUAAAUUCUU
Molecule: ribosomal RNA, 507 nt
Filed under: Somatochlora alpestris
Lineage: Eukaryota; Metazoa; Arthropoda; Insecta; Odonata; Corduliidae
Description: partial 16S rRNA
Rfam family: Bacterial large subunit ribosomal RNA
Source: RNAcentral